RNAcentral lists this ribosomal RNA (492 nucleotides) under uncultured bacterium. Its description in RNAcentral is "partial 16S ribosomal RNA". It matches the Rfam family "Bacterial small subunit ribosomal RNA", at positions 29 to 507 of the family's 1533-position model. The record is from RNAcentral.
AGUGAACGCUGGCGGUAGGCCUAACACAUGCAAGUCGAACGGCAGCACAGUAAGAGCUUGCUCUUACGGGUUGCGAGUGGCGGACGGGUGAGGAAUACAUCGGAAUCUACUUUUUCGUGGGGGAUCACGUAGGGAAACUUACGCUAAUACCGCAUACGCCCUACGGGUGAAAGCAGGGGAUCUUCGGACCUUGCGCGAUUGAAUGAGCCGAUGUCGGAUUAGCUAGUUGGCGGGGUAAAGGCCCACCAAGGCGACGAUCCGUAGCUGGUCUGAGAGGAUGGUCAGCCACACUGGAACUGAGACACGGUCCAGACUACUAAGAGAGGCAGCAGUGGGGAAUAUUGGACAAUGGGCGCAAGCCUGAUCCAGCCAUACCGCGUGGGUGAAGAAGGCCUUCGGGUUGUAAAGCCCUUUUGUUGGGAAAGAAAAGCAGCAGGUUAAUACCCCGCUGUUCUGACGGUACCCAAAGAAUAAGCACCGGCUAACUUCGUG